This 480-nucleotide unclassified non-coding RNA is filed under the name Hevea brasiliensis (rubber tree). Lineage: Eukaryota; Viridiplantae; Streptophyta; Magnoliopsida; Malpighiales; Euphorbiaceae. The record is from RNAcentral.
UGCAAAAGGUGAGUAUUAUUUGUUUUCUUUUUUGCACAUUUAAUGUAUUUAUCCUUAUCAUAUAGUUGUAUAUCUUUUUUUUACUUACAUUUGCCAAUACCUAUUCAUUUCAUGAACUUUACAAAUUUUUCAAAACAGUUGCGUAACGAAAGGCCAUUACAGUUACGUUACAUCCAUUACAAGCCUAUUUCCACUACCUAUGGCUACAAUUGUGAUUUAAAUCCACAUUGCAUAUAUCUACCUAGAAGCUAAGUAUCUUCUUUUCAUUUUAUUUUUCCCACUAGUUUAAUUCAUUGAUUAAAAGAAACAGCAUUUCCAAGUGUAUUCCCAUAGUUUAAGAAAUGCAUAGGCAAUGAAUUCUCAGUUCAAACUGAACAAUCUAGAAUAGUCAAUUCCAUUAUUUUUUAGAAUGGAUGCAAUUUUGAUUUGGUUUAGCAUUCGAAUCCUAAGAUCCCAAGCCCAAACUAUGUACACUCCUUG